AUUCAGCUGACGAGUUCCAAAUAGGACAAAACACGCAUUCUGGAU
Molecule: non-coding RNA, 45 nt
Filed under: Schistosoma mattheei
Lineage: Eukaryota; Metazoa; Platyhelminthes; Trematoda; Strigeidida; Schistosomatidae
Source: RNAcentral